CCUACGGGGGGCAGCAGUGGGGAAUAUUGGACAAUGGGGGGAACCCUGAUCCAGCCAUGCCGCGUGUGUGAAGAAGGCCCUCGGGUUGUAAAGCACUUUCAGUGAGGAAGAACGCCUGGUGGUUAAUACCCAUCAGGAAAGACAUCACUCACAGAAGAAGCACCGGCUAACUCCGUGCCAGCAGCCGCGGUAAUACGGAGGGUGCGAGCGUUAAUCGGAAUUACUGGGCGUAAAGCGCGCGUAGGUGGCUUGAUAAGCCGGUUGUGAAAGCCCCGGGCUCAACCUGGGAACGGCAUCCGGAACUGUCAAGCUAGAGUGCAGGAGAGGAAGGUAGAAUUCCCGGUGUAGCGGUGAAAUGCGUAGAGAUCGGGAGGAAUACCAGUGGCGAAGGCGGUCUUCUGGACUGACACUGACACUGAGGUGCGAAAGCGUGGGUAGCAAACAGGAUUAGAUACCCUUGUAGUC
Molecule: ribosomal RNA, 465 nt
Filed under: Vreelandella stevensii
Lineage: Bacteria; Pseudomonadati; Pseudomonadota; Gammaproteobacteria; Oceanospirillales; Halomonadaceae
Description: partial 16S ribosomal RNA
Rfam family: Bacterial small subunit ribosomal RNA
Source: RNAcentral